Molecule: ribosomal RNA, 423 nt
Filed under: uncultured Pseudomonadota bacterium
Lineage: Bacteria; Pseudomonadati; Pseudomonadota
Description: bacterial SSU rRNA
Rfam family: Bacterial small subunit ribosomal RNA
Source: RNAcentral
UACGCUGGCGGCACGCCUAAUACAUGCAAGUCGAACGAAGUAGCAAUACUUAGUGGCAGACGGGUGAGUAACAUGUAGGUAUCUUCCCUAUGGUGAGGAAUAACACGAGGAAACUUGUGCUAAUACCUCAUAAGUCUUUACGGAGAAAGCUUUAUGCGCCAUUGGAUGAGCCUGCACUUGAUUAGUUUGUUGGUGGGGUAAUGGCCUACCAAGACAAUGAUCAAUAGCUGAUUUGAGAGGAUGAUCAGCCACAUUGGGACUGAGACACGGCCCAAACUCCUACGGGAGGCAGCAGUAGGGAAUCUUGCACAAUGGGGGAAACCCUGAUGCAGCGAUGCCGCGUGAGUGAAGAAGGCCUUUGGGUUGUAAAGCUCUUUCGUCGGGGAAGAAAAUGACUGUACCCGAAUAAGAAGGUCCGGCUAA